RNAcentral lists this ribosomal RNA (377 nucleotides) under Salmonella enterica subsp. enterica serovar Kentucky. RNAcentral describes it as "partial 23S ribosomal RNA". It matches the Rfam family "Bacterial large subunit ribosomal RNA", at positions 911 to 1285 of the family's 2925-position model. Lineage: Bacteria; Pseudomonadati; Pseudomonadota; Gammaproteobacteria; Enterobacterales; Enterobacteriaceae. The record is from RNAcentral.
UGUUUCGGCUAGGGGGCCAUCCCGGCUUACCAACCCGAUGCAAACUGCGAAUACCGGAGAAUGUUAUCACGGGAGACACACGGCGGGUGCUAACGUCCGUCGUGAAGAGGGAAACAACCCAGACCGCCAGCUAAGGUCCCAAAGUCAUGGUUAAGUGGGAAACGAUGUGGGAAGGCCCAGACAGCCAGGAUGUUGGCUUAGAAGCAGCCAUCAUUUAAAGAAAGCGUAAUAGCUCACUGGUCGAGUCGGCCUGCGCGGAAGAUGUAACGGGGCUAAACCAUGCACCGAAGCUGCGGCAGCGACACUGUGUGUUGUUGGGUAGGGGAGCGUUCUGUAAGCCUGCGAAGGUGUCCCGUGAGGGAUGCUGGAGGUAUCAG